This is a long non-coding RNA of Cavia porcellus (domestic guinea pig), 1091 nucleotides long. RefSeq lists it as uncharacterized. The transcript has 2 exons. Lineage: Eukaryota; Metazoa; Chordata; Mammalia; Rodentia; Caviidae. The record is from RefSeq and is a predicted model, not a curated record.
GGCUCCGCCCCCGCGGCAUCUGUGGAGACCCGGGCUGAGGUACGAGGAGAGCGGGAAGGACCGCGGUGGAGAAGGGGACCCGCCGCUCGCCGAAGGAGAGGGGGCCAUGAACUGUUCUCCUCUGUGAUGGCCCUGAGCCAAGCCACUCUGCCUUGAAGCCGGCUGAUUAUGGACUGAACCACUACUAACUGUGAGUUACAAUAAACCUUUCCCCCUAUAACUCUGGGUGUCAGGUAGUUUGCCUGAGCACAAGAGAAAAGUCACUUAAGACAGUGAACAUCUUUUUGUAAGUUUUAUCAAGUGACAGCUAAAAAUAUAAGCCAGGCAUGAAGGCACGCACCUGUAAUUCCAGCCCUCAGGAGGCUGAGGCAGGAGAAUUGAUGCAAGUUUGAGGCUAGCCUUUGCUACAUAGUGAAUUCAGGGCCAGCCUGAACUACAUAGUAAGACUCUGUCUCUAAAUAAGUAAAUGUACAAAGUAGUAUUGUUUUCUUUCUGCGGGGUUUCUUUUCUUGUACCUAGUGUGCAAGUUUAUAAAGUUCAUGAAACAAAGAGGAAAUGGUAUAAAUAUCAUUUGUAUGGAUUUAAAAAUCAAAUGAUAAUCUUCUGUCCUUGGUGAUUUUUUUUGUAUACUGGAUCAUCCAAAUUCUGAAAGAUUUUUCUUUAUCUAGUUGGCUUUUUAGAAGCUUUUAUUUUAUAUAUUUUCAUUCUAUGCUGUGUCCUGAUAACUGUUAAGCCCCUUGGCAAAUGAAACAUUUUUAUUAUUCUUCUUCUUAAUGCUCUUUAAUUCUGUUGAUAAUAACUUUUCCUUCCCAAUUUUCCCAGUAACUCUAACCAUUCCUGUUUGUGUUUUUGUUUUGUAUUUAUAGUUUGCUUUUAGGCUUGCUUCUAAAUUCACCAUUGCUUAGUUGGAUUUAUUCUUUAAGAGGUCAGUCCAUUUACAUUAAAUAUAAGUUCUAUUAGUGUCAUUUGGUUUACACAUAUUUUGCUUUGCACCGAUUUCUUCAUCUGUCUUCUUAUUUUUAUUGUCUUGGUCAAGUUUCUGUUUGUUUUUCAACAGUCCUAAUAAAAUUGUAUUUUCCUUUUUGUCCAAA